CAAGUCGAAGGAGAAGGCGAGCUUCGGUUCGCUGGAGACUGGCGCACGGGUGAGUAACGCGUAGGUAACCUGCCUGUUGCUGGGGGAUAACAGUCCGAAAGGACUGCUAAUACCGCAUGAAGCAGCGGCUCCGCAUGGAGACAGUUGUUAAAGCUCCGGCGGCAACAGAUGGGCCUGCGUGCCAUUAGCUAGUUGGUAGGGUAACGGCCUACCAAGGCCAUGAUGGCUAGCUGGUCUGAGAGGAUGAUCAGCCACACGGGGACUGAGACACGGCCCCGACUCCUACGGGAGGCAGCAGUGAGGAAUUUUGCGCAAUGGGGGCAACCCUGACGCAGCCACGCCGCGUGGUGGAUGACGGUUCUAUGAAUUGUAAACACCUUUUGCCAGGGAAGAAUCCCGGGGUUUCGACCCCGGUUGACGGUACCUGGUGAAUAAGCACCGGCUAACUCCGUGCCAGCAGCCGCGGUAAUACGGAGGGUGCAAGCGUUGUCCGGAAUCAUUGGGUGUAAAGGGUGCGUAGGCGGGCUUGUAAGUCUGGGGUGAAAUCCCACCGCUCAACGGUGGAAUGGCCUUGGAUACUGCAAGCCUUGAGUAUGUCAGAGGUCGGUGGAAUUCGUGGUGUAGCGGUGAAAUGCAUAGAGAUCACGAAGAACACCAGUGGUGAAGACGGCCGGCUGGGACAAGACUGACGCUGAGGCACGAAAGCGUGGGGAGCCAACAGGAUUAGAUACCCUGGUAGUCCACGCUGUAAACGAUGUAUACUAGGUGUCGGGUCGCUUGCGACUCGGUGCUGCAGUUAACGCAUUAAGUAUACCACCUGGGGAGUACGCCGGCAACGGUGAAACUCAAAGGAAUUGACGGGGGCCCGCACAAGCGGUGGAGCAUGUGGCUUAAUUCGAUGCAACGCGAAGAACCUUACCUAGGCUAAAUCUCGGACGACCGGCUCAGAGAUGAGCUUUCCCUUCGGGGCGGCCGAGAAGGUGCUGCAUGGCUGUCGUCAGCUCGUGCCGUGAGGUGUUGGGUUAAGUCCCGCAACGAGCGCAACCCUUAUUGUUAGUUACCAGCGGGUCAAGCCGGGGACUCUAACAAGACUGCCUACGCAAGUAGUGAGGAAGGUGGGGACGACGUCAAGUCAUCAUGGCCCUUACGUCUAGGGCUGCACACGUGCUACAAUGGGCGGUACAGAGGGAAGCUUGUCAGCGAUGGCCGGCGAAUCUCGAAAGCCGUUCUCAGUUCGGAUUGGAGUCUGCAACUCGACUCCAUGAAGUUGGAAUCGCUAGUAAUCGCGUAUCAGCUACGACGCGGUGAAUACGUUCCUACGUUCCCGGGCCUUGUACACACCGCCCGUCAAGCGAUGGAAGUGGGGACUGCCUGAUGUCGCUGCGCGAACUCUUCGGAGA
This 1400-nucleotide ribosomal RNA is filed under the name Aliifodinibius sp. HME9836. RNAcentral describes it as "bacterial SSU rRNA". It matches the Rfam family "Bacterial small subunit ribosomal RNA". The record is from RNAcentral. Lineage: Bacteria; Pseudomonadati; Balneolota; Balneolia; Balneolales; Balneolaceae.